UUUUUUUUUUUACUAAAUCGUUUUCUCUUCUCUGUUUUGAGGUUAAUUAAAAAAAAUUCAGUUAAUAUAAAUAGGAUGAUCUGAUCUCCUGGCCAUCUUUUGAACAAGAUACAACACGACCCUUCGAAUAGUUUAUGUCCUUUGAUUAGAUUCUGAUGGGCUGCCUGACAUCCGCCGUCGAAAUUCCUGAACGAGGACACCAAUCUGACCGCGAAAACGGCCGAUACAUAUCUAAAUGUGAUGGUUCCCCCAACUACCGCCACCGCCGCCGUAGCCCUAGCUACGAAGCCUAUGAACGCGACCACCAGAGCCGCAACGUUAACCAACGCCGUAACCGUUUCGGUUCAUCUGAAUACAGGAACCCUAGAAGCCCUGUUGAAAUUCCUGGAAGAAGACAGCGUUUUGACGGCGAAAACGGUCGCUACGCAUCCGAAUCCGAUGAUUCUACCGAAUACCGCCGCAGCCGUCGCCGCAGUCCUAGUUACGAUAUCUACGACCGCGACCAACCUCGCAACCGCCACCGUUCUGAAUCACCUGAAGACCGAAACCCUGGAAGACGGAGCGCCGCCCAUGACCGAACCCUAAACUCUCUGCCCAAGAAAUUCGGCAAGAAUCGUAGCUACCUGGACCGAGAUUAUCAGAACGGAAAACAUUUAGAGUCCGAAUCGGACGAGGAGUUAAAAGGAUUGAACUUUGAAGAGUAUAGGAGGCUGAAGAGGCAGAAGAUGAGGAAGGCAUUGAGAUUCUGUAUUUGGGAGAAUACACCGAGUCCACCGAGGAAUGAAGACAAUGAUUUGGAGGAUAAAGCUGAUGAAAUUUCGGAGAAGUAUGGCGAGGAUAAUGGCUAUGAGAAGAGCGAUUCCAAUAAAGUGAGGAAGAGCAAUAAGAGAGUCAAAUCCAAGUCUGAGUCUGAAAAAUCUGGAAGUAGCGAGUCAGAGAGUGAGCCAGAAUCUGAAUCGGAUGAUUCAAGGUCUGAGAAGAGGAAGAAGGGGUCGAGUUCUAAGCGUAAAAGUAGUAAAAGCAAACGUCGAAGUAGGAAAACAUCGUCCUACAGUGAUAGCGAAUCGGAUGAGAGUGAGAGCAAAUCCGAUGAUGAGGAAGAUAGAAAGAGGAGAAGGAAGUCGAGGAGAAAGCAGAGUAGGCGAAAUAGGAAUAGCAAGAAAAGCAGUAGAGGAAAAAGAAGCAGGAAGAAGAGUAGGUAUAGUUCUGAUGAGAGUGGGAGUGGUGAAAGCGAAACUGACAUAUCUGAUAUGAGCAAAUCUUCUGAUGAUCGUGUCAAGUCAAAGAAGCGGAAAAGCUCUUCAAAUUCAAGGUCUAGGAGGAGUAAGAAAAGGAGAGGCUCAGGAACUGAUAGUCAAGGUUCGUAUUCUGAUAAGAGCUCAGAUUCUGGGGUUGAUGCCAAGAGUAAAUCAAAGUUAGAUGAGGCUAAGAUGGUUGAAAUUAAUGCUGCUGAGGCUCUUAUGUUUAAAGAAAUGAUAGAGGCACAGAAGAAACCUGCUUUGGAUAAUGAGCCAAUGGUUGGCCCAGCACCAUUGCCAAGAGCUGAGGGACAUAUAAGUUAUGGUGGUGCUCUAAGGCCUGGUGAAGGUGAUGCCAUUGCGCAGUAUGUCCAACAAGGGAAGCGUAUCCCACGAAGAGGUGAAGUGGGUCUUUCUGCUGAGGAGAUUCAAAAGUUUGAGGGCCUUGGGUUUGUGAUGAGUGGUAGUAGACAUCAGAGAAUGAAUGCCAUUCGUAUUAGGAAAGAAAACCAGGUUUACAGUGCUGAGGACAAGAGGGCAUUGGCAAUGUUUAACUAUGAAGAGAAAGCAAAACGCGAGCACAAGGUUAUGGCUGAUUUGCAACGACUGGUGCAGCGCCAUAUUGGCCAGGAUGUUGGUCCUACUCACAACCCUUUUGCUGGAAAAGAUGGGGCUGAAGCCUGAAUCUCAUGUGGGAUUAUCAGAUCAAACCUUCUCUACAUCAGUAGUGAUUUUUAAGUACAUACCCCCAAUUAGGCAAUCAAGUAAACUACCUUUUCCAGUAGGAGCAUUGGCCUCUUGCUUUGGAGUUUGAUUUGAAAUUAGAAUAACAAUUGAGACGAUUUACUAUUGAUGCUAUUCAAGGACCGUUGAUUCCCAGAGUAAAGUACAGUGCCGAAAGUAUUGGGUUGGGCAGGGAGUUAAAACAGCGAGGACAUGGCCCAUUAGAGAUGGGGCCUAUUCUUAAUGGGAAAAAAACGUGAAAGAGAUAAACAAAUUUUUAAAUUUUAUUUAAAAUAAAAUAUAUUUUUGAACUUUUAUUUGGAUGAAAUGAAAGUUAUGAGCUUUUAUUUUAUUGCAAUUAAAGUCCUGAUACUAUAAAAACUCUGUCAAGAGAUGGGCGGGAACCCAGCAGUGUAAAUUCGAGCAAUCCAACAGUUGAUCAAGAAGAUUAAUUCAAGGAAAAUGAUCGAUGCUAGUUUCCGGGUAUCUGAUAAGGGUUGGAAAGCUUGGAGAAAGACGGAUGGGAAGUAAAAUGGAACCAGAAAAUGAUAAAUGUGAAAAUUUACAUAUACAGGACUGUAAAACAGACAAUAACAGCUUUCACUUGUUUGAGAAUGACCUGACCGCAGUAUCUCAGAAUCUCCUGGACUUUGUUAGGAAUUCUUGGUAUUCGUUGCUUAAAUUAGUGUUGUUGGGUCUAUAUCUGGGAUGUUCAAAUCAAGUAUUUAAUUUUUUUUUGGUUAAACAGAUUAUGGGUUGUUAAUACUUAAUACCCUGUUUGUGGAUUGACACCGCCUAGCCUUUUGUGGUUAAAAUGUGAGGACAAAUCCAAUGCCAAAUGGCCAAUGAGUAUCUAGUUCAAACACUGCUUAAUUAUUCUUGAAGGCAA
Molecule: non-coding RNA, 2850 nt
Organism: Durio zibethinus
Lineage: Eukaryota; Viridiplantae; Streptophyta; Magnoliopsida; Malvales; Malvaceae
Source: RefSeq, a predicted model, not a curated record